RNAcentral lists this ribosomal RNA (312 nucleotides) under Triticum aestivum (bread wheat). Its description in RNAcentral is "partial small subunit ribosomal RNA". Lineage: Eukaryota; Viridiplantae; Streptophyta; Magnoliopsida; Poales; Poaceae. The record is from RNAcentral.
AUGGACGUUAAGACAACUUUCCUCAAUGGAGAGUUGAAGGAGGAAAUUUACAUGGAUCAGCCAAAUGGUUUUGUAGUACCUAGUCAGGAAGGAAAGGUGUGCAAGUUAUUAAAGUCUUUAUAUGGCCUUAAACAAGCUCCUAAGGAGUGGCAUGAGAAGUUCGAAAGAAUAUUAACUGCUGCCGGCUUUGUAGUAAACGAUGGUGACAAGUGCGUGUACUAUCGCUAUGGUGGAGGCGAAGGAGUUAUUCUUUAUCUGUAUGUCGAUGACAUACUGAUCUUUGGAACCAAACUUGGAUCUAGGAGUAGCUGA